ACACUCAGGGGGAGGUAGAAGAGAGAAAGCAGUGAACGAUUCAUCUUCCCUUCUAUAUCUGAAAGGAUAAGCAGGCUGUGCUUUCCAGAAAUGCGUGACCUAUCCAAUCCUUUCUCUCAUAGAAACGCCAACUCAUCCAUGCCCUCUGUACUGAACCUUGGUCUCAGCCUGCUGGAAUCACCUGCACCCUAUGGGAACUUAGCCGUAUCUUCAGUCCUGUGAGCCCCCGUCAUGGCCUGUCACAGGAGUAAAUGAAGAGUAAGGGCCAGAAUACUCAGUACCUCUUAAUGACCCUCAGAUGAUGUAGGAAGAGGAUUGGUUAACCUUUUAACCCAGAAUUUCUCACAUUGAAUGGACAGGAUGCAUUCCAAGAGACCAGAGUAUUUGCAUCUCAGCUCCUGAUGGUUUCCACCACCACCAUUACUUUCCCUAUGUCAAGAUACCUGGGAAGCCGGACUUGUUUUAAGGCAGAGUAUCAUAUCACAUCAAAACCUUUCCAUAAGUCCUGCCACUCCAUGUGCAAUGCCAUGAACUUAAACAAAUUGCUGGUAAGAGAAAGCAAAUGCUG
This 568-nucleotide long non-coding RNA is filed under the name Pongo abelii (Sumatran orangutan). Its description in RNAcentral is "lincRNA". Lineage: Eukaryota; Metazoa; Chordata; Mammalia; Primates; Hominidae. The record is from RNAcentral.